GUGUCAGCCGCCGCGGUAAGACAGAGGGUGCAAACGUUGCUCGGAAUUACUGGGCGUAAAGCGCGUGUAGGCGGUUCCGCAAGUCGGGUGUGAAAGCCCAGGGCUCAACCCUGGAAGUGCACUUGAUACUACGGAGCUUGAGUACUGAAGAGGAGAGCGGAAUUCCCGGUGUAGAGGUGAAAUUCGUAGAUAUCGGGAGGAACACCAGUGGCGAAGGCGGCUCUCUGGGCAGAUACUGACGCUGAGACGCGAAAGCAUGGGGAGCAAACAGGAUUAGAUACCCUGGUAGUCCAUGCUGUAAACGAUGAGAACUGGGUGUUGUGGGUAUUGACCCCCGCGGUGCCGAAGCCAACGCGUUAAGUUCUCCGCCUGGGAAGUACGGCCGCAAGGCUAAA
This 395-nucleotide ribosomal RNA is filed under the name uncultured bacterium. RNAcentral describes it as "bacterial SSU rRNA". It matches the Rfam family "Bacterial small subunit ribosomal RNA", at positions 505 to 898 of the family's 1533-position model. The record is from RNAcentral.